GGGGAGAGGACAGAUAAUGUUUAUUGACUGAAUGCUUGAUAUUCCAGUCUUAAGAGGAAAAAAUUUAAAGACAUACCAGGAUACAGACAUUCUUCUUAUGCUAUAUAAAUAAAAAGUUUAAAAGCCUAACAGAAAAACAAAGACCCAAGUAAUAUAGGACAAUAUAUACUAUAUAUUUAUGAUAUGUUGACCAUUAAUUUGGUAACAAACUUUCUACAAGUUAAUCAAGAAGUUGUAUUUGCUCUACAAAUCUUCCACAAUAAUUGGAUAAAAUGAAACCAGUCUGGGAGACCUAUUUCUAUAUCAAAUAAAAGAACACAAACAUGGAAUUUCCUAUUGUGGCUCAGCAGUAAUGAGCCUGACUAUUACCAUGAGGAUGCAGGUUCCAUCCCUUGCCUCGCUCAGUGGGCUAAGGAUCUGGCAUUGCUGUGAGCUGUGGUGUAGGUUGCAGGCGUGGCUCAGAUUCUGUGUUGCUCUGGCUGUGGUAUAGGCUGGCAGCUACAGCUCCAAUUAGACCCCUAGCCUGGGAACUUCCGUGUGCUGCAGGGGUGUGGCCCUAAAAAGCAAAAUUAAAUUAAAUUAAAAAAUGAAUUGUUCAAACUCCCAUUGUGGCUCAGCAGUAAUCAACCUGACUAGUAUGCACAAGUAUGCGUGUUUGAUCCUUGGCCUCACUCAGUGGUUUAAGGAUCUGGCACUGCUGUGAGAGCUGUGGUGUAGGUGGCAGACAUGGCUUGGAUCUGGUGUCGCUGUGGCUGCAGCUCUGAUUUGACGUCUAGCCUGGGAACUUCUAUAUACUGUGGGGUGUGGCCCUCCAAAUACAAAAAAAAAAAAAAAAAAGAAUUGUUAAAAGAAAAAUGCAUAUAGACUUUAAAUGGCAUAAAAUGAUGUAACAGACAAUGCUCAUAACCAUAUUUCUGUAAUUUAGCUGUGGUAAAUUUCAUAAAGCCCAUUUGUUAGACUGCUUUCUAGAAUAAAUCAUGGGCUUAUCUGAGAAAAUUGUUAGAAAGUUAGAAUGAUUUUUCUAUCACUAUACAUUUAAAAAAUUCUGUUCAAGAGAAUUCAUGUGAUAUGAAAUAUUAAAAACUUGCAAAUCUUAUCUGUCACAUAAAUUAUACAAUUUUGUGAAUAGGCUCCAAGAUUUUCAGUUAUGUGUUACAUGUGUUUAGUUCAAUGUAACGUCCUUAACAUGUAGAAAAUGCUGGUCGCCAAGAGGUUGACUGAAUAGUAUUAUAGGUGAUACACAUUAUGUGGAUGUGAAAUUUAGCUUUUUAACACUAUUACAAUAGUGGCACUGACAGGUUUAAAUAUAGUGUUAGCAAAGAUAAUAUUUGUGGCUGAUAGUUCUAAUUUUCUUUGCCAACACUAUAUCAAAUCAUUAACUAUUUUCAAUUUUCACCAAAUGAUUCCAUAGUCAUAAGCUUAUUGCAUUACCAUAUUACUCCUAAUGAUUUAUUUCUAAUCAUAUUGCGAGUACGUAUUUAGUGUGAUAGCUGAAUUAUAUUAAUUUGGCUACAAACAAAAUGAUGCAAUUUAAAAUAUUGAUUGCAACAGCAUUCUCUUUCCAUAAAUCUGCCUUGUAUUUCCAUUGAUUUUAAGUAUGUGAUUAAAUUGUUUGCUUUGAUUCAGAAAUUGUAUUUGGAUUAUAUGAGAAAACUCAAAAUGUGGAAAAUUACAAUUUUAGGUUGAAAAGUACACAAUGCCUAUCCUGAGAAAGCAAUGGUGUUGGCUCUGAGACACAUGACAGGAGUGACACCAGGGCAGUGUGGAUGUGCUCUAUGAGUCACCUCACAAAGAGGACAGAUUGGGACAUUUCUCCAUGAAAACACAUGCUCUGUGGGGGGAGUAGGCAUGGAUUUGAGUCCCAGGAGACUUUUAUCUUUCCAUUUUUGUUAUACAUUUUAUCUUUAUAUAUGAAAAAUGAGAGUUUGAAGACAACAAAAUCUUUAAUACCUAUGGAAACCCUGGCACAUACCUGUGGGAAAAGAAUCCUUUCAUUUUAUCACUAAACAUAACCCUAGGUUAAAAUCAUCAUCAUACACAGUUAUAGUAUCUAUAUAUACAUAAAUAUGUACAUAUAUGUGAUGUAUUUAUGCACACGUUUAUAUGCUUAUAUGCAAACAUGGCAUAAAUAUGUACAUGCAUAUAUACAUACAAGGGUAGAUUCCUCUCUACAUAUAAGGUGAAUUCUAUUGUAAUGAAUAUUAAGUUAUACAUAUAUGCAGUAGAUAAAGUAUACAAAUAAGGCAUAACCCAGUGUAUCUGCAGAGUCCUCAUAUUUGCUUCCCAUAUGAGAACCUCUGAGUCCUCUUCUGUCUUCUGUGUUAUGCUACCAUUUUCCUUUUCUAUUAAUGGGUGAAUGUCUCUCAUGCAAAGGAAGGCACCUUUGCUGGUGACAGGCGGGGGCGGCGGCUGUGGUGGGGGGCUGCAGAAAGUAGGCGUUAUUUUUGAGACUCCUGUGCAGUCGGUUCUCCAUGGGAUCCUCAGUUGCACAGGCCAUCAGCUCUGACUGUAACUAUGGCUCCCACUUCUGGCUCGUCCAUCUCACCUUCAAUUCUCCUUGAGCCUCAGGGCUGCUCCUCCGUGAUUGCCUCCUAUUACUGGUCUCUUGUA
Molecule: long non-coding RNA, 2610 nt
Filed under: Sus scrofa (pig)
Lineage: Eukaryota; Metazoa; Chordata; Mammalia; Artiodactyla; Suidae
Description: lncRNA (ENSSSCG00015009785.1)
Source: RNAcentral